Scylla paramamosain (green mud crab) is the source of this 1469-nucleotide long non-coding RNA. RefSeq lists it as uncharacterized. The transcript is spliced from 3 exons. Lineage: Eukaryota; Metazoa; Arthropoda; Malacostraca; Decapoda; Portunidae. The record is from RefSeq and is a predicted model, not a curated record.
UUUGGGGACAUGAGUGUGGAUCAAUGGAGUCAGUGCCUUAGGUACAAAACAAACAAUGCCAGACGUGCUGUUUUGGGUCAGUGUGGUAAGAUUGCCGUCAUUUCAAUUAAUAUAUUUUUCGCUGCUUAAUCCUAUUUCCUUUUACGUAUUCGCAUUUUUUGUGAUUUUUUGAUAUAUUAUUUACCGCACCACAAUUUUGUUUUUUAUAUAAAUGUUCUAACCAACCAUCUAAGUUACUUUUAACAUUUUGCAGUGGAACCAUAUGAACACGACGUUAAGGUGCUUUAAUUUUAGAUCAAUCAAUCAAUCAAUCCUUAAAUGUACAGUGGGUCCUUCAAGGGCAAGAUUAAGAGUAGCGCCAUGUAAAAUCUUUGGCACUACAACCAUGAAAAUAACAAUACUAACAAUGGCAAAAACAUCAACAAAUAAUACAAUCUCGUUUCGACAGUGUGAUGAAAUACGCGCGAAUUUGCAUCACUGGAGCCUGCACACCACCUCUCCCUCUCUCCUGAAUGAGAUACGACAGACGUGCGAUGAACUAGCGGAAAGCAAGAGGAAGGUGGCUAACAUCCAGGGACUUUUCCAUCUGGGACGACAUACUAUUCUACCUGUGGCGAGCCUCGUGGCGACCUACUACGUGAUCCUGAUGCAGUUCAGUAUGUCAGAUGGCUCUAAUGCAUUAUUAUUCUUAACAUCUGUGGAAAAAAUAACUAAGAACGUGACCCAUUUUUAACUUUUCUUUCAUUUAUUUUUUUGUUUCAUUUAGUAAGGUUGAGUUUAGUAUAAAAGAGGGAAGUGAGAGAAGUGAUGAAUGAAAAUAAAAUAAAAAAGUAACAAAGCAAAAAUAACAGUUUUAAUAGAAAAAAAAAGAUGAAACUGCUUAAAAAGUAAAAGGCUACAUCGAUCCGUCGUGAAAUGCCUGCUGGCAAACACCGGAACCUCGAGAAUUAGUUCCAUUGUUUUGCUUCACUUUAUACCAGUUUUUGAAAUUGUUGAAUUUAAUGUAGAGUGAUGGCUUCAUAAAGGAAGUGCAUAGUCUUGCAGACAAAAGGAUCUAAAGAUAUAUGAAGAUUUAUUCUUAUGAAUAUGUUCAAGAUCUUUAGAUAUUCAGCUAGAUUAAAAAGAAAAAAAAAUCGCCGACACUAAAAGCUGUAUCUCUAUUGUCUUCAUAGUUAAUACUAACAUUGUGACCAAGACGUCUAAACAUCUUUAGAAGCUGCAAUGUAUCACCUUCAACUCAAUGUUAUGCUUUGAUUCAUCAUUUAAUGAUGCACAUAUUGCAGGCUUUGUCUUGAUGCUGUUAAUUGUAUGUUGCUGUAAAUUGGUGUUCAUCUAUGAAGUUAGGGAUUAUCAAAUUAUUUGUAGAGGAAGUUGUAUUAUAUUUAAGAUCUCCAUAACGUCAGUGUCUGUUAUUCCAUUAAUAAUCCUGUUUUACAUAAAGUUUAAAUAAAAUGAUGACAUACUACUCA